AACGAACGCUGGCGGCAGCCUCAACACAUGCAAGUCGAACGCUCCGCAAGGAGAGUGGCAGACGGGUGAGUAACGCGUGGGAAUCUACCCAUCUCUACGGAAUAACUCAGGGAAACUUGUGCUAAUACCGUAUACGCCCUUCGGGGGAAAGAUUUAUCGGAGAUGGAUGAGCCCGCGUUGGAUUAGCUAGUUGGGGGGGU
RNAcentral lists this ribosomal RNA (200 nucleotides) under uncultured bacterium. RNAcentral describes it as "partial 16S ribosomal RNA". It matches the Rfam family "Bacterial small subunit ribosomal RNA", at positions 29 to 258 of the family's 1533-position model. The record is from RNAcentral.